CUUGGCUCAUAAGUCUAGGCUCAAAUGACCUAGACAGGCCAUUUCGGCCAUCCUUAGCCUCAAGGCAGAAUCAGCUAUGAGUAAACCUUUCUCUCUAUCAUAUUUCCUUGUAAAAUAUUUUUUCUUUCAAAAAGUCUGCUUACAAGACUUCCCCUUAAACUUAAUGUUAGGAAAGUUUUCCUGAUGUCUAGUCUAGCCCCUUUAUUUUUUAUUAUUUUUUUUUUUUCCAGCAAACUUUUACGUGUUUGAAAAUAGUGACCCUUGAUCUCCUUCCUUAUGACAAAAUGGACCAAAUUCUUUCCAUCUUUUCUGCUGGAUUUUAUUUUGUAGACCUCUGGGAAUUUUUAUUUUCCUAUGGAGUCUUUCCUGUUAGCCCAAUCUUGCCUUGAGCUAUGAAGGCCAGUGAUUAACAUGACAGCAUUUUGGGGCUUUCUUUAACAUAAGCUAAACAGAAUAUGAGGUUUACCUCGUAUGCUUUAUAUAUAAUCCAGCUAUUCAUAGGUAUAUAUAAUCCAGAUAUUCAUAGGUUUCAGUACGAUGUGUUUUCCAUUUUUUUUCUCUUUAAAUUAUUAUUUGUUUAUUUAUUUUUAAAUUGAUUAGAUGGAAUUGUUCCUUUAUAGGAGCACUAACCAAAAAUGUAGGUGGUUAUCUCAGAUACAGAAGAAUCUAUAGAAUAUUAGAAAAAGCGUAUUUUAAUGUUUGUCCUUCAUUCCCUUCCCCUGUCUCCCAGGUGUUGCAAAGUCUCCGACUAAAAAAAGACUUGAUAGGACACAAAAAUACAGGCUUUUGUGGAUAAUACCUCAGAACUGUCUUGUACAUGUCAAAUGGAUGAUGUAAACCAUGGAGGCUGUAAGUGUCCUAAAUGUCUCAGCACUGCAAUUCCACAACUGGGAGAGUUGGGAAGAGUGGAUCCUUGCUCCUGUGGGGUACAAACAACGCUCAUGGUUUGGUCCUUGCCUACUAUGCUGGAUUCACAUGCUCAGAAGCAAAGGUGAAUUCUCCCUAAUUCAGAGUGGGAAUCUAGGUUUUUACUGCUAUACAAGAGUACUACACCUCUGUUUUAUGGCAUUACAAAGGCUUUGGGCAUUUGUUGUAGCUUUGUUUCAGAUGAUCUCUGUCAGAAGCACUUAACAGUUAAGUCUCAGGGGGAAUGAAAUGUUUUAAUUUCAGUGAAGUUACUGGAUUUACUUACAAGGGAGAGAUGUAAUGGCCUGUGAUACAAAAGAGGUGACCUUCAGCUCUGACUUUACAUUCUGUUACAAAUUCCUACGCAUAUAUAUUGCUGAGGGAAGGUUUUGGCACAAUAUGCAUUUAAUUUAAAAAUGGUGUUUAUUCCAAUUGUGCAGAGAUGUUUUAGCAUAUAUGAAGAGUUAAAUCCAGAGAAAGACACUUUAACCAAAGAUCAAGAUGAAAAGCCAAGUUACAUUAUAAAGAUACUUAAGCAAAUGUACCAUAUUUAAUCUACUCUCAUCUUAAAGCAACUUCUCAUUUGCACUUUCACUUACAUUUCUAAUGCAGUGGUAUUUAUUACCUUUUGCCUACCUUACCAAAUGAGCAACAAUCUCUAGAGAUAUCUCCUCUCUGAUUAGAAAACACUUGCUGCAAAAUAAUAGAUUUAUGAAAUAUACAUGAAGAAACUUUUAUUAAAAUUACAUUAAUAGCCAAAUUCUGCACACAAUUACACUUGGCCAUUGCAAAAUCAAUGAAUUGCACUGGGAUAAUAGAGAGCAGAAUUUGCCCUGACCGAAUAAUUUUAGCUGAUUAAAAACAAUGAAAUGAGAUAUUAAUAUUGACACUCCCUGUUUGAAAUAUCAUUGUUCUGUGGACCCGGAAUUCAUGAUUUAGGACUCAGUGUGGAGGAACAAAGCCACUCUGCCAGCCAGCCCUGCCAGCAAGACAAUAUAUACUCUGACAAAUGGUCUCAUAUAUAACUCCACUUCUGGGAGGUAAAAGGAGGAGAGUCUUAUUCUCUCCUGCUUUGCACUAGGUCAGAAUUAAUAUUCUCCUACAGCAGCUGAUGAUACAUACCUGAGUAAGCUUUACACUGGCUAUCUCAGGUGUUGAGAACAGAGCCAUGGCAGGAUGGAGUUCAAGAGAGGCUAAGCACCCAAAUAUUUACUCAGUUCAUCUUGUCACUAGCUCACUUCGGUACCUCCUUUAGGUUAGCUACAAUAUGACACUGGCUGAGGUCCAACCAGCAGGUUUAUUACCUCUAAAUGCAGAACUGGGUUUAUUAACUUGGGUAGAGAACUGUGCUAUUGUAAUAUAUAUGAUACUGUAUAGAUAGGGAAGUAAAAUGGCUUUAAUUCUUCUGGUCUGCAAGAUAGCUCAUGGCUCUGAAUUGUGUUUUGUAUUCUGAGGGAAUGAUAGUCCCCGUGUGAGAGAACGUCUGGCCUAGAGGAGGAAAAAAAAAAGAGCACCUACACCUGGGGCUAAUGACAAUGCAGCAGAGGCUACUAAAGGAGAUGGAGCUGGGCAACCUCCCUGUGCUACUCUGUGGAGUGAUUUUGGGGUUGCACCCUCUGUUCCCCAUUUACUCAUUUACUUUGAACCAGAGGAUUAUGGUACUUGGAGGUUUCUGAACUGAUUGCUUAAGUCUUAAUAGCUGUGAAACCCCAACACAUUUAGAGUUGCCCAAGAUAUCACUGCUUUGGAUGGACCUCAUCUGGCUGUGCUUGUGCCUGGCUAGAACCACAGCCUCUCCGUAUCCUCCUGUAUUGGUGGUGGUGGCUAGCAACGGCACAGAAACUGCUGUAAUAAAAAGGAGAUGUAAAGAUGACA
RNAcentral lists this long non-coding RNA (2781 nucleotides) under Anas platyrhynchos platyrhynchos (common mallard). Its description in RNAcentral is "lncRNA (ENSAPLG00000027323.1)". The record is from RNAcentral. Lineage: Eukaryota; Metazoa; Chordata; Aves; Anseriformes; Anatidae.